UAAUUAAAUCAUGUCUUUGCCUCUUUAUUCUUGACAGCUGGGACAACAAGUUAGAUACUGUUCUAGACUGUUAAUAAAGGUGAUUCAAAACUGACAAUAUAUAAGAUGACUUUGCUACCUAAAAUAGACAAAGUAGACCACAACCUCAAACUGACCCAAAUGUUCUCGUGGUGUCUUCGUUGGACGGCAGCAUCACCUGCUGGACACCCAUUCUCUCACGUGAACUACAUAUCUGAGAGAUGUUGAUAGGUUUACAUUCCAU
Etheostoma cragini (Arkansas darter) is the source of this 262-nucleotide long non-coding RNA. RefSeq lists it as uncharacterized. The transcript has 3 exons. Lineage: Eukaryota; Metazoa; Chordata; Actinopteri; Perciformes; Percidae. The record is from RefSeq and is a predicted model, not a curated record.